UUAAUUAAUUAUAACAUGUAAAUUAUAAAAUUGUUGUAUUUGAAAUAGUUAUAUAAAUAUUUAAGUAUAUGAUUAACAUUAAAAAUAUAUACCAUUUAUGUUCUAAAAUAAUAAUUUAUGUAUAGAAAAGUGAAAACAAACACCCGUACAGUUGCACGGGUCAAAAUCUAGUAUUCUAUUCAAACACGAUUAUGAUUGAUAUACUGGAACGGUUCUUAGAGUGUUAUAUCUGAAAACUAAUAUCAAAUUCAAUCCGCACCAAAAACCGAACAAUGUUUUUUGAAAAAUGUUUUAAAAAAUAAUUUUAAUAUAUUCUGUUAUAUAUAUAUAUAUAUAUAUAUAUAUAUAUAUAUAUAAAUGGGUUAAUAUGAUCUUCAGUAACUUUAAGUAAAAUCACAUUUAAUAAAUAUUUUUAAUCGAAUAACCUAUUUAAAUUUCGUUAAAUAAAUAUCAUAGAAUAUAUUUUUAUAAAUAAUAUUUAUAUAUAUAUGUAAAUGUGUAAAUAUGAUUUUCACUAACCUUAAUUAUAAUCACAUUUAAUAUAUAUUUUCUAAUCGAAUAACCUAUUUAAAACCCUUUAACUAAAACUCGUUGAAUAUAUUUUUAUAAAUAAUACUUCUAUAAUAAUAUCAAUUUAAUUAAAUAGUUUUAAUAAUCUUAAAUUUACUUCCAAAAAUAUACUUUUUAGAUUUUGGUUGGACUAAAUUUUCUAUAUCUUAAAUGAUUUUGUUAAAUACUUCAAUUUUGUAUUUAGAAUAUGCUCAUAUAUAUUUAGUUUCAGAUUGAAGCAUGCUAUUGAUUUUGACAAAAUACUACAUUAUUCGAAGGAUUAAAGAAUAAAUAGCUAAAAACAUAUACUUUAAUCCAUUAGACAUAUUUUGUUUAUAUUUUGUUUUGCACCUAUUAGACAUAUUGUGACUAAAUAUUAAAAACAUAUACUUCAUAUCUAUUCUAUCUAAUAAAUAUGAUAUCUCUUAUAAUUAGGAUAUACAAUUGAUCUAAUCCAUAUUAAAUUAGAAUUUUAUAUUUAAUCUUACCUAUUAGCAAUAUAUGAUAUAUUUUUAACUUAUUUAAAUAUUCCUUAUCGGUACCUUUUUUUCCUUAGCGGUACAUAUAACAAACAAUAUGUACAGACUUUACAAAACAUUUACGAUAAUUCAAAUUUUGGAACAUUUUAUGAACUGGAAAUUAAAAAGUAAAAUAAAAUUAAAGAAAAACUUCCAGAAUACACCAUUUAUAAUCCAUGACCAGAUUAACUAUUUGAUAAAAGAAGAUAUAUACUCCCUCUGUUUUUUAAUAUUACAUAUUCUAGAUUUUUAACACAUUUUAAUAAAACACAUUAAAUUUGCAUAUUUUUUUGUGUUUAUCUUUGUUUCAUAAUUUUAAACCGAUAACAAUUCAGUAAGUGCAAUUAAGUUUUUUGAAAUUUGCAAUUAGUUAAUAAAACAUAUCUUGAAAAUAUAAAAAAUAGAUCUUUUUAAAACAAAUUUUUUUCCUAGAAUAUGUAAUAUUAAGGAACAGAGGGAGUAUUAUUUAGUGGGUCAGAUAAUUCAGUAAAGUGGGUCCUGAUUAUUUCUAAUAUAAUUGAUCAACUCUUCUACGUAACUGCUUCCUACGUCCAUUUUAGUUAAUUUUAGAUUCAGUUACUCAAUUAUCUACAUAAUUAUGAAUAUAUCAACUGAUGCAGUUAUAUUUGAUGCAGUUAUAUAAAAAUCAUUUUUUUUUAAAUUGGACUCAACUAAUAUCAAUGGGGCAUGUUCCUGUUUUAAUAGUGAGGACGGGUAUAUUUUUUGUUUUAACUAUAUUUUUUGUUUUAAUUUUUUUCAGAAAUUUAAUUUUCAUAUUUGUGUUUUUCUAUGUAAUCAUAUUUACGUUUUUCUUUGUAGUCAUAUAUAUGUAAAUCUUAAUCAAAAUCUAUUUUAUAAAAUAAUAGUAAUGUAAAGAUUGAUUUGGCAUACACUCAAUCUUUGUAAUUAUAUGUCCGUAUAUCCGUUUUUUUAAAAUCAUAUUUGUUUGUUCUAGAUCUUUACCCGCGGGUAUAAUGUCCACUUAAUAAUAUAAAUGACCAAAAAUAUUUAUGUAAAAUUAUUUUUAUAAAUGCUAAAGAAAAUAUAGCAAGUGUGUAAUGAAAAUAAAAUAACUGUGUGUAAGGAAAAGAAUGAUUUUGGUUUCCUAUUACAAACGACUAAAAUCAGGAAUUGAUCAAGAAAUUUCAUUUAUGGUAAGUAUUAAGAAUCAAACUUAUUUGAUUAUGCUUGGAAUUGGUUAAACCGAGUUUUGUAAUUAAUAAAUUUGGGAUCAAUAAUAUUAAAUUUCAGUGGCCUGGUGGCAAUUGUUGGUUCAGUUGCUUGGAAUUAGUUUCCUAAUUUUUUUUUGUCGGCAGUUUCCUAAUUCUAUACGACAAAAGCUUGUUGUGCAUUUUUAUUUUUUUUUUUUAAUAAGUGGCAUAAUUGUAAUUUUCAUCAUCUUUUCCAGAUUUUUUUUUAGGGUUUUGACACUGUAAAUCUAUUUUCAUGCGGCCAUCAACUAUUUCCUUGUAAAUUAUCAAAUUGUUGUGUGAUUACGUAUCAGUAGUCUCAAAUACAUAGAUCUGUCGUAAAAAAUCAGUUUUAAACAUUCAAAACUCAAAAAAGAAAAAAAUCGCGACCUUCGAUUUGCUCGCCGCUUAUGACGAAAUCACCACGCCCAAGCAUAGCUCUAUAUCUCGAACAUUUUCGAACAUGGCCCUUUGUCUUAAUUUUUGUAGUCUUCGACCAGUAAGUGGAGCGAAGGAAAUCAGCUAGAAAGUGAAUUCAGAAACCACAAAUGGAUAGAUAAUAUAAUUUGUGUACUCUGAAUUUGUGUCUGAGUUCUGUAUUUGUUUGUUACUGAGUAAUUAAUCGAUGAUCAUAAAAAGCGCUUUUAAAGAGAACCUGAUAACUGCUUCUGCUAGAGGUAGAAGAAGUUAUAAAUUACAACAUAGUUAGUGUUUUAAUAUAAUUAGAUGCAGUUAUAUAAAAAUCAGUUUUUUUUAAAUUGGACUCAACUAAUAUCAAUGGGGCAUGUUCCUGUUUUAAUAGUAUUGAUUUAUAAUCUAUGACCAGAUUAACUAUUUGAUAAAAGAAGAUAUAUAUUAUUUAGUGGGUCAGAUAAUUCAGUAAAGUGGGUCUUGAUUAUUUCUAAUAUAAUUGAUCAACUCUUCUACGUAACUGCUUCCUACGUCCCUUUUAGUUAAUUUUAGAUCUAGUUACUCAAUUAUCUACAUAAUUAUGAAUAUAUCAACUGAUGCAGUUAUAUUUGAUGCAGUUAUAUAAAAAUUAUUUUUUUAAAAUUGGACUCAACUAAUAUCAAUGGGGCAUAUUCCUGUUUUAAUAGUAUUGAUAACAAACGUUCCUUAUGAACACGUGUCUCUUCUUCUCUUGAAAUAAAAUUGGACAGUACUUCUCCCACCGCAAUCACUCCAACCACCACCGCUUCCCUCCCUUUCCCAGUUCCCACGAUUAGUCGCCACUGCUAAUGAGAGCUUUACUAAUCAAUAGCUAGGAGCGAGAAACUGCUUUCCUUCUGGAGAUAUCGGCGGCAAUAAUGAUAACGGAAACAGCAUUGGCAGAGACGAUGGUUGGUGGUUUAACGGUGGUCUGCAACAGCCUGCCUCAGUGUCUUUGAAGACCAAGUGAGGCCUACUUCACAGAAAAAAAAUAGAAAGGGCGGGAGUGGACGGUUAUUGAAUGGUUUUUCAACGUUAAAAAAGGUUGGUAGAUUAGUUUCAA
Brassica rapa (field mustard) is the source of this 3749-nucleotide long non-coding RNA. RefSeq lists it as uncharacterized. NCBI's taxonomy places the organism in Eukaryota, Viridiplantae, Streptophyta, Magnoliopsida, Brassicales, Brassicaceae. The record is from RefSeq and is a predicted model, not a curated record.